RNAcentral lists this ribosomal RNA (423 nucleotides) under uncultured bacterium. RNAcentral's name for it is "partial 16S ribosomal RNA". It matches the Rfam family "Bacterial small subunit ribosomal RNA", at positions 360 to 775 of the family's 1533-position model. The record is from RNAcentral.
AAUAUUGGACAAUGGGGGCAACCCUGAUCCAGCCAUGCCGCGUGUGUGAAGAAGGUCUUCGGAUUGUAAAGCACUUUAAGUUGGGAGGAAGGGCUUGAGGUUAAUACCAUGAAGUUUUGACGUUACAAACAGAAUAAGCACGGGCUAACUCUGUGCCAGCAGCCGCGGUAAUACAGAGUGUGGAAGCGUUAAUGGGAAUUACUGGGCGUAAAGCGCGCUUUGUUGGUUCAGUAAGAUGGGUGUUAAAUCCCCGGGCUUAACCUGGGAACUGCUUUCAUAACUGCUGAGCUAGAGUACGGUAGAUGGUAGUGGAAUUUCCUGUGUAGCGGUGAAAUGCGUAGAUAUAGGAAGGACCACCAGUGGCGAAGGCGACUACCUGGACUGAUACUAACACUGAGGUGCGAAAGCGUGGGGAGCAAACAG